GAAAGACGCGCAUUUGUUAUCAUCAUCCCUGACUUCAGAGAUGAAAUGUUUGGCCACAGUGAUGUGGCCUUUU
Molecule: small RNA, 73 nt
Filed under: [Enterobacter] lignolyticus SCF1
Lineage: Bacteria; Pseudomonadati; Pseudomonadota; Gammaproteobacteria; Enterobacterales; Enterobacteriaceae
Description: Enterobacter cloacae SCF1 MicA sRNA
Rfam family: MicA sRNA
Source: Rfam by way of RNAcentral